UCCCUGGUGGUCCACUGGUUAAGACUCUGAGCUUCCAAUGCAGAGGGCACAGGUUCAAUCCCUGGUUGGGGAA
RNAcentral lists this transfer RNA (73 nucleotides) under Bos indicus (zebu cattle). It matches the Rfam family "tRNA". From Rfam's summary of the family: Transfer RNA (tRNA) molecules are approximately 80 nucleotides in length. Lineage: Eukaryota; Metazoa; Chordata; Mammalia; Artiodactyla; Bovidae. RNAcentral also lists the same sequence under 2 other names. The record is from Rfam by way of RNAcentral.